RNAcentral lists this ribozyme (71 nucleotides) under unclassified sequences. RNAcentral describes it as "pistol ribozyme". It matches the Rfam family "Pistol ribozyme". The record is from RNAcentral.
ACUCGUUUGAGCGAGUAUAAAUAGCUGCUUAGGCUCAAAGCGUAUAAAGAUUAAUUUCUUUAUCUGUGCAG